GGUCGCUUGGUGAAAUUGGCAGACACGCAAGACUUAGGAUCUUGUGCCGAAAGGCGUCGGGGUUCGACUCCCCGAGCGACCAC
Molecule: transfer RNA, 83 nt
Filed under: Pirellula sp. SH-Sr6A
Lineage: Bacteria; Pseudomonadati; Planctomycetota; Planctomycetia; Pirellulales; Pirellulaceae
Description: tRNA-Leu
Rfam family: tRNA
About the family: Transfer RNA (tRNA) molecules are approximately 80 nucleotides in length. Their secondary structure includes four short double-helical elements and three loops (D, anti-codon, and T loops). Further hydrogen bonds mediate the characteristic L-shaped molecular structure. tRNAs have two regions of fundamental functional importance: the anti-codon, which is responsible for specific mRNA codon recognition, and the 3' end, to which the tRNAs corresponding amino acid is attached (by aminoacyl-tRNA synthetases). tRNAs cope with the degeneracy of the genetic code in two manners: having more than one tRNA (with a specific anti-codon) for a particular amino acid; and 'wobble' base-pairing, i.e. permitting non-standard base-pairing at the 3rd anti-codon position.
Source: RNAcentral